UACGUAGGGUGCGAGCGUUAAUCGGAAUUACUGGGCGUAAAGCGUGCGCAGGCGGCUUCGCAAGUCAGGCGUGAAAUCCCCGGGCUUAACCUGGGAAUGGCGUCUGAAACUACGGAGCUGGAGUGCGGCAGAGGGAGGUAGAAUUCCACGUGUAGCGGUGAAAUGCGUAGAUAUGUGGAGGAAUACCGAUGGCGAAGGCGGUUCUCUGGGCCUGUUCUGACGCUGAGGAGCGAAAGCGUGGGGAGCGAACAGG
Molecule: ribosomal RNA, 253 nt
Filed under: uncultured bacterium
Lineage: Bacteria
Description: partial 16S ribosomal RNA
Rfam family: Bacterial small subunit ribosomal RNA
Source: RNAcentral